UACGGCGAAACUGCGAAUGGCUCAUUACACAAGUUAUCGUUUAUUUGAUAGCACCUUACUACUUGGAUACCCGUGGUAAUUCUAGAGCUAAUACAUGCUGAAAAUCCCGACUCCGGAAGGGAUGUGUUUAUUAGAUUAAAAGCCAAUGCCCCCUGGGCUCUCUGGUGAUUCAUGAUAACCUCUCGAAUCGCAUGGCCUUGCGCCGGCGAUGGUUCAUUCAAAUUUCUUCCCUAUCAACUUUCGAUGUUUGGGUAGUGGCCAAACAUGGUUGCAACGGGUAACGGAGGGUUAGGGCUCGACCCCGGAGAAGGAGCCUGAGAAACGGCUACUACAUCCAAGGAAGGCAGCAGGCGCGCAAAUUACCCAAUCCCGACGCGGGGAGGUAGUGACAAUAAAUACUGAUACAGGGCUCUUUUGGGUCUUGUAAUUGGAAUGAGUACAAUUUAAAUCCCUUAACGAGGAACAAUUGGAGGGCAAGUCUGGUGCCAGCAGCCGCGGUAAUUCCAGCUCCAAUAGCGUAUAUUAAAGUUGUUGUGGUUAAAAAGCUCGUAGUUGAACCUUGGGCCUGGCUGGCCGGUCCGCCUCACCGCGUGCACUGGUCCGGCCGGGCCUUUCCCCCUGCGGAACCCCAUGCCCUUCGCUGGGCGUGGCGGGGAAACAGGACUUUUACUUUGAAAAAAUUAGAGUGCUCCAGGCAGGCCUAUGCUCGAAUACAUUAGCAUGGAAUAAUGAAAUAGGACGCGCGGUUCUAUUUUGUUGGUUUCUAGGACCGCCGUAAUGAUUAAUAGGGACAGUCGGGGGCAUCAGUAUUCAGUUGUCAGAGGUGAAAUUCUUGGAUCUACUGAAGACUAACUACUG
RNAcentral lists this ribosomal RNA (858 nucleotides) under Ophiocordyceps formosana. RNAcentral describes it as "SSU rRNA". It matches the Rfam family "Eukaryotic small subunit ribosomal RNA", at positions 77 to 945 of the family's 1831-position model. The record is from RNAcentral. Lineage: Eukaryota; Fungi; Ascomycota; Sordariomycetes; Hypocreales; Ophiocordycipitaceae.